GACGAACGCUGGCGGCGUGCCUAAUACAUGCAAGUCGAACGAACUCUGGUAUUGAUUGGUGCUUGCAUCAUGAUUUACAUUUGAGUGAGUGGCGAACUGGUGAGUAACGCGUGGGAAACCUGCCCAGAAGCGGGGGAUAACACCUGGAAACAGAUGCUAAUACCGCAUAACAACUUGGACCGCAUGGUCCGAGUUUGAAAGAUGGCUUCGGCUAUCACUUUUGGAUGGUCCCGCGGCGUAUUAGCUAGAUGGUGGGGUAACGGCUCACCAUGGCAAUGAUACGUAGCCGACCUGAGAGGGUAAUCGGCCACAUUGGGACUGAGACACGGCCCAAACUCCUACGGGAGGCAGCAGUAGGGAAUCUUCCACAAUGGACGAAAGUCUGAUGGAGCAACGCCGCGUGAGUGAAGAAGGGUUUCGGCUCGUAAAACUCUGUUGUUAAAGAAGAACAUAUCUGAGAGUAACUGUUCAGGUAUUGACGGUAUUUAACCAGAAAGCCACGGCUAACUACGUGCCAGCAGCCGCGGUAAUACGUAGGUGGCAAGCGUUGUCCGGAUUUAUUGGGCGUAAAGCGAGCGCAGGCGGUUUUUUAAGUCUGAUGUGAAAGCCUUCGGCUCAACCGAAGAAGUGCAUCGGAAACUGGGAAACUUGAGUGCAGAAGAGGACAGUGGAACUCCAUGUGUAGCGGUGAAAUGCGUAGAUAUAUGGAAGAACACCAGUGGCGAAGGCGGCUGUCUGGUCUGUAACUGACGCUGAGGCUCGAAAGUAUGGGUAGCAAACAGGAUUAGAUACCCUGGUAGUCCAUACCGUAAACGAUGAAUGCUAAGUGUUGGAGGGUUUCCGCCCUUCAGUGCUGCAGCUAACGCAUUAAGCAUUCCGCCUGGGGAGUACGGCCGCAAGGCUGAAACUCAAAGGAAUUGACGGGGGCCCGCACAAGCGGUGGAGCAUGUGGUUUAAUUCGAAGCUACGCGAAGAACCUUACCAGGUCUUGACAUACUAUGCAAAUCUAAGAGAUUAGACGUUCCCUUCGGGGACAUGGAUACAGGUGGUGCAUGGUUGUCGUCAGCUCGUGUCGUGAGAUGUUGGGUUAAGUCCCGCAACGAGCGCAACCCUUAUUAUCAGUUGCCAGCAUUAAGUUGGGCACUCUGGUGAGACUGCCGGUGACAAACCGGAGGAAGGUGGGGAUGACGUCAAAUCAUCAUGCCCCUUAUGACCUGGGCUACACACGUGCUACAAUGGAUGGUACAACGAGUUGCGAACUCGCGAGAGUAAGCUAAUCUCUUAAAGCCAUUCUCAGUUCGGAUUGUAGGCUGCAACUCGCCUACAUGAAGUCGGAAUCGCUAGUAAUCGCGGAUCAGCAUGCCGCGGUGAAUACGUUCCCGGGCCUUGUACACACCGCCCGUCACACCAUGAGAGUUUGUAACACCCAAAGUCGGUGGGGUAACCUUUUAGGAAUCAGCCGCCUAAGGUGGGACAGAUGAUUAGGGUGGUAG
Molecule: ribosomal RNA, 1493 nt
Filed under: Lactiplantibacillus pentosus
Lineage: Bacteria; Bacillati; Bacillota; Bacilli; Lactobacillales; Lactobacillaceae
Description: bacterial SSU rRNA
Rfam family: Bacterial small subunit ribosomal RNA
Source: RNAcentral